This 497-nucleotide ribosomal RNA is filed under the name uncultured bacterium. RNAcentral describes it as "partial 16S ribosomal RNA". It matches the Rfam family "Bacterial small subunit ribosomal RNA", at positions 28 to 507 of the family's 1533-position model. The record is from RNAcentral.
GAUGAACGCUGGCGGCGUGCCUAAUACAUGCAAGUCGAGCGAACAGACGAGGAGCUUGCUCCUCUGACGUUAGCGGCGGACGGGUGAGUAACACGUGGAUAACCUACCUAUAAGACUGGGAUAACUUCGGGAAACCGGAGCUAAUACCGGAUAAUAUAUUGAACCGCAUGGUUCAAUAGUGAAAGACGGUUUUGCUGUCACUUAUAGAUGGAUCCGCGCCGCAUUAGCUAGUUGGUAAGGUAACGGCUUACCAAGGCGACGAUGCGUAGCCGACCUGAGAGGGUGAUCGGCCACACUGGAACUGAGACACGGUCCAGACUCCUACGGGAGGCAGCAGUAGGGAGUCUUCCGCAAUGGGCGAAAGCCUGACGGAGCAACGCCGCGUGAGUGAUGAAGGUCUUCGGAUCGUAAAACUCUGUUAUUAGGGAAGAACAAAUGUGUAAGUAACUAUGCACGUCUUGACGGUACCUAAUCAGAAAGCCACGGCUAACUACGUG